Molecule: long non-coding RNA, 537 nt
Organism: Chenopodium quinoa (quinoa)
Lineage: Eukaryota; Viridiplantae; Streptophyta; Magnoliopsida; Caryophyllales; Amaranthaceae
Exons: 4
Source: RefSeq, a predicted model, not a curated record
CAUUAAAAUAACAAAAGGACUGAAUUACUCAUUCGUCAUUCACCAGGUUUCAUUUUGUUCAUUUUGUUUUCCAAUUCAUUUCAUUCGACAGUUCUACCUCUUAAUCCCUAAUCCCUCGAAAUCCUUCAAUCUGGACACUAGAGACGAAGAAGUCAUUCACCUUUCAUAAACCCUUCGGUCUAAGCGUUAUGAAACAUAACGCAUAUUUUUGAUGAGCUUAAUCCUAACACCAUGAAUUUCAAAGUCAAAGUUAAAGUGAUUGAGAAGGGAAGGCAGAGGUUGUAUUCAAAUGCUAGAUCAACUAUUUAUCAACUUAUGUAUCUUGUUGAUGAUAAGGGUGUUCGUGAGUUAGAGAAGUAGUUGUGAAUCGCUCGUGGUUGAUCAAGGUGAAUAUUUCAGGUGGAAAUUGAUUGAUGCAUAUGGGAGUCCACGGGAAUUUCACCUAGCUAGGAAAAGUUUGAGUCGUUUUAUGUCACGAAUUAUGAACGAAUUUUACUAUGGUUUAUUUAAUAAAGAAUAAAGUUUUCCACUGCAAAA